RNAcentral lists this ribosomal RNA (443 nucleotides) under uncultured bacterium. Its description in RNAcentral is "partial 16S ribosomal RNA". It matches the Rfam family "Bacterial small subunit ribosomal RNA", at positions 338 to 795 of the family's 1533-position model. The record is from RNAcentral.
CCUACGGGAGGCAGCAGUGGGGAAUAUUGCACAAUGGGCGAAAGCCUGAUGCAGCAACGCCGCGUGAAGGAAGAAGGGUUUCGGCUCGUAAACUUCUAUCAACAGGGACGAAAGAAAUGACGGUACCUGAAUAAGAAGCCCCGGCUAACUACGUGCCAGCAGCCGCGGUAAUACGUAGGGGGCAAGCGUUAUCCGGAAUUACUGGGUGUAAAGGGUGUGUAGGCGGCAAGGUAAGCCAGAUGUGAAAGCCUUGGGCUUAACCCGAGGAUUGCAUUUGGAACUAUCAGGCUAGAGUACAGGAGAGGAAAGCGGAAUUCCUAGUGUAGCGGUGAAAUGCGUAGAUAUUAGGAAGAACACCAGUGGCGAAGGCGGCUUUCUGGACUGCAACUGACGCUGAGGCACGAAAGCGUGGGGAGCGAACAGGAUUAGAUACCCCUGUAGUC